This 844-nucleotide long non-coding RNA is filed under the name Lupinus angustifolius (narrow-leaved blue lupine). Its description in RNAcentral is "long non-coding RNA (LANG_LNC003455)". The record is from RNAcentral. Lineage: Eukaryota; Viridiplantae; Streptophyta; Magnoliopsida; Fabales; Fabaceae.
CUUGAACCUAGAUAAUCAGAAUGAGACAUCUACAUUUUCAAGUUAGAACAAAACUAUGAUUUGUUUUCUCUGAUUCAUAUUUAUUGAUGUCAUUAAUACAAGAUCAGAUCACAGUCGUAGCUAAUUAAAAAAUAAGUAAGAAGAAGAAAAAACAUACUCAAAUAGUGUCUCAAUGAUCUUUAGGGUUGCGCUAGCUAACAGUUCAGGCUCAACAUAGUAAAAUAAAAAGAUGAAAUACAAGAUUAACUAUUCCUCCACAUUAAACCAAUUAGACCUUCUUAUACUUUGAGUGGGCCUCGUUCCCAUGUUUUUAUUCGGACCUCCAUCAUUGCUCAAGCCUUCAAGAGAAACCUUGUCACAAGGUCUGAAGAGUCAACAAUUGUCCUUGGUAAAUUAAUGGACUAAGCAGUCAUUGGGGUGUGGUUCCCAAUUUCUGAAUUUGCAGGAAGUGUGUCCAAAAUGGAGGGAUGGAUGGGAGUUUUGGGAGUCCCACUAAUUUGAAUGGACGGGCAAUCUGUCUCGCGUGUUGUCUUCCCACCUUGCAUGUUGAUUAAGGAUUGAAUGGAAAUAGGUUGGGUGGUGUGGCUUGGUUUGGGGUGGGUGGGUGGGCCUGGGUUUGUAGAGGAUGAUCCAGGAAGGUUAGUGGGGUUUAGGCUUUAGGGGUGGAUCUGGAGGUUGAGGAGGAGGAACAAUAAUAUUAGCUAGUUUAUCAGUAAUACUACAAAGAGCUUUACCAAUAGCUUCAUGUAUGGAAUCAUAUUGAUCUUGGUAUUCUUUCAAAUUCUCAUAGAACAGUUACAAUAAUGAUUCAUCAAGAUCCUUGUUUGUUCAUUUAGGAAGAAAU